CAUGUAUUUUUGUGAUAAAUCCAUAUUAUACUGAGUGUAGUUCCCACAUUAAUCAAUACAAAGUACCUGCAUCUUUCAGGUUUUUAAAUCAAGGCUGAAUACUUUCUUCUUUGCCGCUGCCUUUUAUUAAAUCAAAUUUGAGACUUUUAAUUUGAUUUCUUUCAGCGCGACCGCAAUGCAUGAUGGGAUAUAAUGCUUUGGCUAGUGGCCAUCGUUGUAUACUACUUUUCGUGAUGCAUUGUGGGAUACGUUGAAUGCACUAUCUAGGGUGUAAAUAAUUCUCACUAAGGUUUCGGACAGCACUACAAAAUGGUGUCCCCACUAUGUAGUGCCCUAUUAUAGGGAGUAGGGAGCGAUUUCGGACACAGGCCAAGUUGUCCCAAGGUGUUGGCACUGACUUAGAGACACUGAAUCACAUGUUUAUAGGACUGUAUUAUUCAUCAUUCAAUUAUCUUCUGCCAAUAUAACUGGAAUUACCAGAAAAUUACGUCUGUAUGAAAUAUUACGUGACGGGAGCAUGCGCGAUGUGUUAAGCGGUAAACCGGAUGUUUUGAUUACCUCGGAACGAGGUAUUCUGCAACACCGGAAAGGGGAGAAGGCAGAAUAAUUCCCUUUUUGCAAGUUUUUUUUUUCCAAAAUGCACUUUGUCAUUUCGGCGGUGUUAACAGCGAAUUACCACAUCCACUUUUAGAAAUAAAUUAAGCACAAACAAAACUUUUUAAUUCCAGUUUUUGUAGACAGAUUACAGCGAGUAUUCAUUUUUAUUUCCGACUUCAACAGCUGAGUUGGUGUGAACGCUCAAAUGUGGGAAGUCGGAGGUUCCAAGAUGAAAAAUUCCGAGUUUUCAGUUGGCGCGAACGUAGCAUUAUGUCGGAAGUGAAAAGUCGGCGCUGGGAAUGACGUAUUUCGGCCUCUGUGUGUUACCAUUGUGAGAAAUCAGGUAGAUAGAUGUUCUGAAAACUUUAAUUUAAUUAUUGAUAAGACAAGGAAAAAAACUUAACCAAUGGCUUCAGAGAUAUUUAUUCUUGGAAGGACGAAUAUUACUUACAAAGGCCGAAGGAUUAUCCCGUCUUACAUAUACAGCUGUCUGCCGACAAGCAGCUCUGUAAUGCCAUUGAUAAGUUACUGUUCAAUUUUAUUUGGGAAAACAAGAUACAUUAUGCGAAAACGUCUGUUAUGAACACUUAUGAUUCUGGUGGUCUAAACUUUCUUGAUUUUACUACCCUUAAUAAUACCUUUUAAAAUUAAUUGGAUAAAACAGUUUAUACAUAAUCCCACAUCCACUUGGAACUCUAUAGGUACAUUUUCUCUACGAUUGGAGGCCUUGAGUAGUGAUUUAUAAAAUAGAGAAACUUCCCCUAAUCCUGUCCAGUUUCCAUAAACAAAUGCUCUUGGCAUGGUCAUUAAUUUAUAAACACAACUUCUUCCCACAUAGAUGCUUCAUCUGGAAUAAUCAUCACAUUAAAUAGAAAAAUAAAUUCUUAUUUUUUAAAUCCUGGUUCAAUAACAUAAUUCUAGUAACCCAGCUACUCAAUGAUGAUGGAAAUCUGCUACAUUAUUCUGAGUUCCUCCAAACAUUUGGUAUUCAUGUUACCCCAAAAGAGUUUGCCAUUGUAAUGGAUGCCAUUCCUUCUGGUAUCCUAACCCUUCUAAGAGGGUCUGAAAAACCUGUUUGUUUACCAUCUCUGGACCCCAUAUUGACCCCAGUGGGUCAUGUAUGCUUCUCUGUCACAUCCAAGAACAAUAAUUGCAAUAUUUGCGCAUUAUUCCAGGCAGAUAUCACCACUAUCCCCUCUGUGGUUCAGUACUGGACUGGUCUUGUUGGUGACCUGAACUGGAGCAGUGUGUGGAACCUUCCAUACAGAUACUUCCUUACAAACAAAGUAAGGGAGGUGUCUUUCAAACUGAUUCAUAGAUACUAUCCUGCCAAGCAUUAUAUGCUUAAGUUUAAGAGAGACAUUUGUGUGGACUGUUCAUUGUGUGAGACAGACCCGGAAACAAUAAUGCACCGGUUCUGGCAAUGCCCCUUUACCAUCACAUUCUGGACAGAAAUAACCUGGUACAUUACAGCCAAGUUUGACUCUGAUUUUUCUCUGUGUUGGAAAUAUGUACUUUUGGUUUCCAUAACAACAAAAGCAAAAACCAGAAAGUUAUAUAAAUAAUAAAUGUGCUGAUCAUUUUAGGAAAAUACCGUAUUCAUAAAGCAAAGUUUAGUCAUUCAAAACCUUCAUUUAUAGCAUUUGAAAAGGAAACUGAACAGUAUAUCAAAAUCAUCUCUGACUCUAAAAACAAGAAAGCUGCUAAAACUUUUCAUUUGCGCUCAUUAAAUGUUUUUAUUUGAAAACUCCCCCUGGCUCUUGGUUUAUUGUUUGUGUUUGUAUUAAUAACUGUAUUUGUAUUUUGUUGUUUUCAAUAAAGAUAAAAAAAAAAACAAUGACGUGGGCGGGGGAAAAACAUGGAUGAAUCCUGUUCCGUUUGUGGUUCCUUGCGAGUGGUAAUUUGCAAGUUGUAAUAAUGUAAUUUACUACCUCAGCAUGUUUGAUGUGCGAAGUGGGGGGAGAGCAAAAACAUGGACAUAUUCACGAAAGCGUCCCUUUUAAUACAUCAACUAUUAUAAUGCAAAUGUAAAGCAGUACGAGAAAAAAGUACAAGAAGUGUUGCCAGGCAAAACAAACCUCUCCUGGUAGCACUUAUGACGAAUAUGAAGGAAGAUAUCGUGAAAAAAAUAGGUACCCUGUGGGUACAUGUGGCUACUGCUCUAGGUGCAAUUAGUGAUUAAGUGAUCAAUCUCAUUAAAUCAGUCUCAUUAAUUAUUGUCAUUAAAUCAGUCUCAUAUUAUCAUUAAAUCACUCAUGGAAUCAGUCUCAUUGGAUCAGUCUCAUUAAUUAAUACCAUUAAUUUUGGUGCUUAAUAAUAAAUUACCAAACAGCUAAAAUUAUGGUAUAUUCCAAAUUAUUAUGAUCACUUACCAUAUUACAUAACUCAUAUGCACCUUGGAAUUCUUUUGAGAUUUGGGCGACUUCAAAAGUAUUGGAACAACAAAUACAACACAGUUUCAAUAAUAAUUGAAUUUAUUAUAACAAAGAUAAAAAUGAAUAAUAACAGUUGAAAUCUUCAGCAAACAGUGAGAUGUGUGUGAGUGUGUUGUGGUGAAGACAAAAGAUUAGCUUUGUGUGCUAAUUAAGAUGUGUUUGUGUGUGCGAGGCCUGGUGACCACGUGUUUCUUGCUAAGACAAAGGAAUGCUAGCUAGGGUGUGUUUGUGCGUGGGGGAGUUGACCAUGUGUUUCUAAGUAAAACAAAGAAUUAGCUUUGGUUGCUAAGACAAAGGAAUGCUAGCUAAGGUGUGUUUGUGCGUGGGGGAGUUGACCACGUGUUUCUAAGUAAAACAAAGAAUUAGCACGUAUUGCUAAUGACAAAAUAAUAAUUAGCCGUAUGUGGCUAGCUAAGGCCCAAGGAUCCCACCUCAUGGAGUUAAGACAAAAAGUGUGUGUAUGUGAGUGUGGAGGAGGGCCGCCACGUGUUCCCUUGAGACAAUACACUUAGCCCUGGAGGCUAAUGGGACAAAAGAAUUAGCCGUAGGCUAAUUUCACAAGCUUAUAACAGUACUAAAUCCACUGAAAUCUUGAUGCGGUCAAGAUACGUGUAAUAAUGAAAUUAAAGUGUUAGACAGGAAUAGAGAGAGAGCAUGCAAAGCCUAUCUAUUAAACAAUUGAGAGAUUAAAACAAAAUAGAACAAUCAUCAAUUCAACACGCUGUGUGUCUACAGUGUAAACAAUUAAACCGUUCCUGAGUUUAAAUUCACACUACUUCAAUAAAGCAAAUUCCUAAGACUAGCUUUUAUGCCCAAAUGCCAAGUCUUACUUCAGUAUCUCGCCCUUUACGCGAGAUUAUGAGAAGAUGUUCUGAGACUUUUGGAGUUUCACCGUUGUGGAGAACGUGAGUCGAUUCCGUGGAGCGCAGAGAAUUUCUUGGUCCGACGCGUGGUCGCUCUUGAUGAAAAGAAAGUCUCUGAUCAGAAUAAUGUGCACAGCGCUUUAAUUAGAAGGAUCGGGUCACUUCUAACUCUUAAAUUAAACUGCUUGGGCUGCAGUCGUACGUACUUAUAAGGAACAAAUGAAACCGGUUAUAUCUCAGUCUGAGUCCAAAUCGAGCGAUUCUAGAAUCAACCGUGGCCAAAGGUGAAAGAGAAGCGCGAAACUCUGAUUCUUGAGGAAAAGAAAAGACGUCUUUAUCUGGUUUGCUUCGGCAGAGCAAAUCUCUUUGUGUCCAGAUAGCUUGAAGUCCAAGACGGAAAGAGGAAUUAUGGCGUAUUUCCGGGUCCCUUAUGGAGUCGUGGAGGAAGUGACGUAGAUGAUCCCGCCCACGCGUGACGUAGGUCAACGCCAGUGGCGGCUGGUAGUCUUUCAAACAGGGGAGGCUGGUCGGUUACGAUAUUUCCAGAUUUUAAAAGAAAAAACACAUCAAUUUUGCCCAUACUCUUGCCUCUGAUCUGGCUGAUUGUUGGCAGGGUCACAAACUGUGAAAUAACAGGUUCUUUUGGCCCAUCAUAUACAUGAUGGUGGUGUUGGGGGGGGUAUAUUUUAACAUUUUAUAUUUUAAAAUUGUGGCAUGUUUAAAAAUUGACCUCGGCUGUGUUUUUGUUUAAAAAUGUUUUCCAAAUUGUAGCUGUGUUUAAUUUAUAUCCAGAAAAGUAAUAUAAUAUAUUCAGCAUAAACAUUUUAAAUAGAUUCUAUAUUUUUGGUCCAUCCAUGACAUAUUACUAAAGUAGCCUAUUUACUGUUGUUGAUGUGGGUCACUUGCUGUUAGCCAAUUCACUUUCUCGUACCAGGAGAGCUGAAAGGAAUGAGUAUUAUUCCCUACCUUUUUCACCAAGUCAGUUUGAGGCGUUGGUCUACCCUGCUUUUUAAUUUUAAUUUUUUCCUCGAAAGGAAGACUGGCAAAUGGCUUCGCCAAAAUUAAAUCAGCAAUGCUUGGCAUCCAUGCACAGCUUUCUUGCUAGCUGACUAGCCCCCUCAAGUUCAAGUUCAGUCACUCAAAUAAACUAAAUUUCUGGAACUAAGAUAGCAAACUUGACAACACUAUAUUUACACUUUAUUUACAAUGAAAAUAUAUACAAACUAAAAAAGCUGGUAGAAACCGUAUGUAAUGAAUGAAAUCGAAAUGUAAGCCGAUCUCUUACAAUACACCACAGCACUUGCGAAUCCGCAUGGGACUGAACUGAUGUUGCCAGAUACUGCUGACGUUAUCCAGCCCAAAAUAUGUUCAAAACCUGCCAAAAUGCACUUAAAACCACCCAAUCUGGCAACACUGUACCGCUGCCUGUCUAUACUUGAAACGAGCUGUCAAUCAAAGAGACGGGCUGUUGUAGUUUUUAGACGGACUGUACCUACACUGCUUAUAAAUAAAACUGUUUUCUGAUUGAUGUCCAUACAGUAAAUAUAGCAUAUAUAUUUACCCUAUGAGGCAGUAGCCAGAAAAAUGAAGCGUAAUCCAAAAUUGAACAAUUUAAAAAUUACAGAAGUAAAAUAUACCAAGUGUCUGUACUUUAUAUUAUUCUACUCUUACCUCUUACAGUUUUCGAAACUGAAACCUCCAAAUUGAGGCUGACAUACACACGCUGUCACCAUGACCGAAACUCUUAUUUCCCGGAAGUGGCCUGGUGCUAGAGCUCAGUGGAACUCUCUUUCCCUCUGUAAUAAGCAUAAACAUGUCUGAAAGUGAUUUCUUUAGUCCAUUUAUUUUGAAUGGUGAACCAAAUUGUAUACGCUCACCGGCUAUUUUAAUUGGAACACGUGUAUGCGCAUGCACGACCGUUACACUCUUACAUUCUUACAGAAUGAUGAUGUAGUGGCUAGUGUCUGUAUAUGAGGCCGUAGUCACAACAAAAAUGAUUUUGACCUUUUUGAUGACCCUCAAAAUGUUGGCGGUUCUAUUUGAGACCAAUGCCUAUCUAUCCUGAAAGUUUCAUAAAGAUUGGUCCAGACGUUUUCCCGUAAUAUCGUUAACAAAAAAAACACAGAAACCGGACUGAAAACAAUACCUCGCCCCACUUACUCUGUAGUGGGCAAGGUAAAAAUACAUGUUUAAAGUUUGAAGUUCGAAGCUGGGGGGUGGGAAAGAGAUCUAUAUUUCUAACCUCCCCUUUAUUUCCAAGAUCCUUGAAAAAGCUGCCACAUAGCAGUUAUGCUCAUAUCUACAUAGAAAUAACAUCCAUGAAAUGUAUCAAUCAGGAUUUGGACCUCAUCAUAGCACAGAGACAGCACUGGUUAAAGUAGUAAAUGACCUACUGUUGGCAUCUAAUCAGGGCUAUGUCUCCCUGCUUGUAUUGCUUGACCUUAGUGCAGCCUUUGACACUUGAUCAUUCCAUUCUCCUGGAUACACUAGAAAAUAUUGUAGGGCUUAAGGGAACAGCCCUCUCCUGGCUCAGGUCUUAUUUAACUGAUUGCUAUAAGUUUGUUGAUGUAAAUGGUGAUUUUUCUCGACAUACUGAGGUAAAGUUUGGUGUCCCACAAGGUUCUCUGGGUAAUAUUUGUAAUAUUUGUAUUAGCUUCCACUGUUAUACCGUUGAAACACAGCUGAAUGUUUCUGCAAAGCCAGAUGAGCGACUGCAGCGUAAUAAAAUUGAGGAAUGUGUAAAGGAUGUUAGAUACUGGAUGCUUAUUAACUUCCUUAUACUUAGCUAUGACAAGACAGAAGUACUUGUACUAGGACCACAUGUAGCUAGAAGUAGGUUUUCUGAUUACAUAGUAACCUUGGAUGGCCUUUCUGUUUCUUCACGUGCAGCCGUAAAAGACCUCGCUGUGAUCCUUGACUCCAGUUUUUUGUUUGAAACUCAUAUUGAUAACAUUACCCAGACAACUUUCUUUCAUCUCAGAAAUAUUGUUCAGAUAAGAAAUAUAAUGUCACUCCAUGAUGCAGAAAUACUAGUUCAUGCAUUUGUUACCUCUAGGUUGUAUUAUUGUAAUGCCUUACUGUCUGGAUGUUCCAGUAAGUGUAUAAACAAGAUCCAGUUAGUUCAAAAUGCAGCAGCAAGAGCCCUUACUAGAACUAGGAGAUAUGACCACAUCACCCCUAUGUUAUCCACACUGCACUGGCUCCCAAUCAAGUUUUGCACUGAUUAUAAAAUACUACUAUUGACCUUUUUUUUUUCUUCUCCCCAUUGGAUUGCAACCUUGUCAUGGUCAAGAAACCUGUGUGUCUCAGUGACCCCUAGAACUAUGCCAGCAGGAGAUUUAUCUCCUGGUAGGGCCCACCAUGCUGGACAGGCCGAAGGGUAGAGGUGAGACAAAAAGCAAUCCACUGGUCCUCCAGGUUGGGGGUUGGGCACAGGGCUAACAACCCUGUCCCACAAAACAAAUAUGUUACGGAAACAGCAACAGAAGGAAUCAACACUACCAGGCGUGAUGGACUUCCAGGGCUAUGGAUAGAUGCCAGGAUGAUUGCCAAUGGUGCAAGCUGUUUGGAAGCCAGUGGCAGGAAGGUGGAAGUUCUGAAUGCUAAACAUAAGACUAGGAAGACCCAAAACCACCUGGUGUCGGACUGUGGAGGAGAUGCGAACCAUGAAUCUGACCUGGGGAAGUGUCCAAAAGAUGGCCCAAAAUCGCCAGGAGUGGAGAUCCUUCGUUGCUGCCCUAAAUGCCAGGAGGCAUAACGGGCAGUAAUUAUAUGUUGAUCCUGAGACACCAGUUAUGCUGACGACUUCUGCUCUUUAGACCCACCUGAUCUAUCCUGAUGCCCUACAUCUGGCUGGAGUCUCAUCACAUUGCUCCUGUGGAGGAUGGUCCCAUAUGGACAGUAAAAAGUCACACUUAGAAGAUGGCUCUGGACGCUUACAGUUUUGCUAUGAUGGCUGAGGACUACAAUUGACAUGAUAAAUUUAGGAGUGCAGUUGUCACGAAAAGGGGUGGGUUUUCCGAAAGCCUCUUAAGGCCAAGAGUGUCUUUAAUUACCUCCUAAGAUCCAUCGUCAAGCUAACGAGCUUUUCCCAAACAGCAUCGUAGCCCAAGCAAUCCUCCCUGAAUUUACGAGGGACCGGGACUACUCAUUCAAAACAAAGAGUGACUCCUCACAGCCGAAUACAAAGAAUGCGCAUGCGCGUCCGAGGGACUCUCACAGUCAAUGAGGGAAACUAGUGUUGAAUCUGCUGCCGAUGUUCAAUUAUUUUUCUUGUACAUUGCAAGUACAUUGAGUUAAUUAUUAAAUAAAUAUAUGAAAAACAUUA
Neoarius graeffei (lesser salmon catfish) is the source of this 8222-nucleotide RNA transcript. RefSeq lists it as uncharacterized. The transcript has 2 exons. The record is from RefSeq and is a predicted model, not a curated record. Lineage: Eukaryota; Metazoa; Chordata; Actinopteri; Siluriformes; Ariidae.